RNAcentral lists this ribosomal RNA (492 nucleotides) under uncultured bacterium. RNAcentral describes it as "partial 16S ribosomal RNA". It matches the Rfam family "Bacterial small subunit ribosomal RNA", at positions 29 to 507 of the family's 1533-position model. The record is from RNAcentral.
AGUGAACGCUGGCGGUAGGCCUAACACAUGCAAGUCGAACGGCAGCACAGUGAGAGCUUGCUCUUACGGGUGGCGAGUGGCGGACGGGUGAGGAAUACAUCGGAAUCUACUUUUUCGUGGGGGAUAACGUAGUGAAACUUACGCUAAUACCGCAUACGACCUACGGGUGAAAGCAGGGGAUCUUCGGACCUUGCGCGAUUGAAUGAGCCGAUGUCGGAUUAGCUAGUUGGCGGGGUAAAGGCCCACCAAGGCGACGAUCCGUAGCUGGUCUGAGAGGAUGAUCAGCCACACUGGAACUGAGACACGGUCCAGACUCCUACGGGAGGCAGCAGUGGGGAAUAUUGGACAAUGGGCGCAAGCCUGAUCCAGCCAUACCGCGUGGGUGAAGAAGGCCUUCGGGUUGUAAAGCCCUUUUGUUGGGAAAGAAAAGCAGCAGGUUAAUACCCCGCUGUUCUGACGGUACCCAAAGAAUAAGCACCGGCUAACUUCGUG